UACGUAGGGGGCAAGCGUUAUCCGGAUUUACUGGGUGUAAAGGGAGCGUAUACGGCCAGACAAGUCUGAAGUGAAAAUCCAGCGCUUAACGUUGGAAGUGCUUUGGAAACUGCCGGGCUGGAGUGCAGGAGGGGCAGGCGGAAUUCCUAGUGUGGCGGUGAAAUGCGUAGAUAUUAGGAGGAACACCAGUGGCGAAGGCGGCCUGCUGGACUGCAACUGACGUUGAGGCUCGAAGGCGUGGGGAGCAAACAGG
RNAcentral lists this ribosomal RNA (253 nucleotides) under uncultured bacterium. Its description in RNAcentral is "partial 16S ribosomal RNA". It matches the Rfam family "Bacterial small subunit ribosomal RNA", at positions 524 to 776 of the family's 1533-position model. The record is from RNAcentral.